This 122-nucleotide non-coding RNA is filed under the name uncultured Eubacterium sp. Its description in RNAcentral is "Glycine riboswitch". It matches the Rfam family "Glycine riboswitch aptamer", at positions 9 to 86 of the family's 94-position model. Rfam says of the family: This family represents the bacterial glycine riboswitch. Glycine riboswitches usually consist of two metabolite-binding aptamers domains with similar structures in tandem. The aptamers cooperatively bind glycine to regulate the expression of downstream genes. The record is from RNAcentral. Lineage: Bacteria; Bacillati; Bacillota; Clostridia; Eubacteriales; Eubacteriaceae.
ACUCUGGAGAAGCCCGUAUUUCCCCUCUGCAUGGCAGAUGGAUAACGGGUGCCGAAGGUGCAAGAUAUCUCAUGGCGUAAUCCCAUGACAUAUUCAAUCUCUCAGGCAAAAGGACGGAGAUU